UACAGAGGGUGCGAGCGUUAAUCGGAUUUACUGGGCGUAAAGCGUGCGUAGGUGGUUUGUUAAGUCGGAUGUGAAAUCCCAUUGCUCAACCUUGGAAUUGCAUUCGCUACUGGUAGACUAGAGAUCGGUAGAGGUCAGUGGAAUUCCAGGUGUAGCGGUGAAAUGCGUAGAUAUCUGGAGGAACAUCGAUGGCGAAAGCAACUGACUGGGCCUGAUCUGACACUGAGGUACGAAAGCGUGGGGAGCAAACAGG
This 253-nucleotide unclassified non-coding RNA is filed under the name uncultured Salinisphaerales bacterium. RNAcentral describes it as "contains 16S-23S intergenic spacer region". It matches the Rfam family "Bacterial small subunit ribosomal RNA", at positions 524 to 776 of the family's 1533-position model. Lineage: Bacteria; Pseudomonadati; Pseudomonadota; Gammaproteobacteria; Salinisphaerales. The record is from RNAcentral.